This 77-nucleotide transfer RNA is filed under the name Variovorax sp. SRS16. RNAcentral's name for it is "tRNA-Met". It matches the Rfam family "tRNA". From Rfam's summary of the family: Transfer RNA (tRNA) molecules are approximately 80 nucleotides in length. Their secondary structure includes four short double-helical elements and three loops (D, anti-codon, and T loops). The record is from RNAcentral. Lineage: Bacteria; Pseudomonadati; Pseudomonadota; Betaproteobacteria; Burkholderiales; Comamonadaceae. RNAcentral also lists the same sequence under 1 other name.
GGGCGGGUAGCUUAGUUGGUUAAAGCAGUGGACUCAUAAUCCAUUGACCGUGGGUUCAAGUCCCACCCCGCCCACCA